RNAcentral lists this transfer RNA (74 nucleotides) under Candidatus Blochmannia vicinus (nom. nud.). RNAcentral's name for it is "tRNA-Arg". It matches the Rfam family "tRNA". From Rfam's summary of the family: Transfer RNA (tRNA) molecules are approximately 80 nucleotides in length. Their secondary structure includes four short double-helical elements and three loops (D, anti-codon, and T loops). RNAcentral also lists the same sequence under 2 other names. The record is from RNAcentral. Lineage: Bacteria; Pseudomonadati; Pseudomonadota; Gammaproteobacteria; Enterobacterales; Enterobacteriaceae.
GCGUCCGUAACUCAAUUGGAUAGAGUAUUGUCCUCCGAAGACAAAGGUUUCAGGUUCAAAUCCUGUCGGACGCA